This 500-nucleotide ribosomal RNA is filed under the name uncultured bacterium. RNAcentral's name for it is "partial 16S ribosomal RNA". It matches the Rfam family "Bacterial small subunit ribosomal RNA", at positions 355 to 865 of the family's 1533-position model. The record is from RNAcentral.
UGGGGAAUAUUGCACAAUGGGCGAAAGCCUGAUGCAGCGACGCCGCGUGCGGGAUGAAGGCCUUCGGGUUGUAAACCGCUUUUAAUUGGGAGCAAGCGAGAGUGAGUGUACCUUUUGAAUAAGCACCGGCUAACUACGUGCCAGCAGCCGCGGUAAUACGUAGGGUGCAAGCGUUAUCCGGAAUUAUUGGGCGUAAAGAGCUCGUAGGCGGUUUGUCACGCCUGGUGUGAAAGUCCAUCGCUUAACGGUGGAUCUGCGCCGGGUACGGGCAGGCUAGAGUGCAGUAGGGGAGAUUGGAAUUCCCGGUGUAACGGUGGAAUGUGUAGAUAUCGGGAAGAACACCAAUGGCGAAGGCAGAUCUCUGGGCUGUUACUGACGCUGAGGAGCGAAAGCAUGGGGAGCGAACAGGAUUAGAUACCCUGGUAGUCCAUGCCGUAAAACGGUGGAUGCUGGAUGUGGGACCCUUCCACGGGUUCCGUGUCGGAGCUAACGCGUUAAGC